RNAcentral lists this non-coding RNA (29 nucleotides) under Rattus norvegicus (Norway rat). The record is from RNAcentral. Lineage: Eukaryota; Metazoa; Chordata; Mammalia; Rodentia; Muridae.
CUGCUUUAAUAAGUGGGGUGCUCACAUGC